CGCUUACCAUUCACUCGUUCGAUCGCUUGUAAACCAUACAUUUGCCAUCGUUCGUUUUCGUUCAUCAUGAGGCAGUCAUGUUGUCUUUGACUAGGAUGACUGACUUGACAACCAUUACAGGAUUCCACACAAAGUCUUUCAACUUCUUGUGCGACUGCAUUCGCAAAUAUUCCUUCCAAUAAAUUGUAAGAUGUGGUUUUACCGUGUAGACACGCCAUGACUGAUGUGGAACAAAUAUAGACGAUGUUUGUAACAGGACGCUUGUCGAUUUUACACAGAUACUUGUAUAAAAGUUCAUAGUAAGCCAACAUUAAUCCCUCAAUUGUAUCAUAAACGUGGAGAGACGCUAAAAAAUGCGUAGUCAGCAAGUUUCGCCCGAUCGUGUUUAAACCUGCCCGCGUGACGUCAUUACUUACCUGAUCCUCCCCGCGUGACGUCACUACGCACCCUCAUUUGUGC
Molecule: non-coding RNA, 459 nt
Organism: Paramuricea clavata
Lineage: Eukaryota; Metazoa; Cnidaria; Anthozoa; Malacalcyonacea; Plexauridae
Source: the annotation of a GenBank genome assembly